AACCCUCCUCUCCCUCUUACGACGCCGAGCAGCGCCGAAGCCUCCUCCUCCCCAACCGACGCUCCGAACCCGUUUUCCUUUCUCUGCGCGAAACCAAUCACCGCCGCUCGCCACCCAUUGUCAUCACCGGCAGAGCUUCCCUUCUCCCGUCGCCGUCGAUCCUCGCCUCACGAGCGCUGCCCUCCUACCCCGAUUCACCGCCGCCCGAUUGACGACGGGGUCAAGCACCAACACGGAUCUAUCAUCAUCUCCUUUGUGUUGUGCCCCAUUCCAGCAUGACCAGCCUCCCGAUCCUGACAUUGCUGCUGUGUUGACGCAGAUCCACCCAACACCGUGCCUAGCCUUCAUAGUUUUUCCCCUUUCUUCCACUCUCGCUCAAACCGUCGCCAAAUGUCUAUGGUGUAGCCAACAUCGAUGCUCUAAAUCCUUUGCUUUUGUUCCCGUAAGCAAACAUAUCAAGUGCUAUAGGUGAUUUGUUGGGAGUUAGGGUGUUGAUUUGAAGGUUCUAGUGGAUUCUCUUGCCAACUCUACUGCUAAGGCACAAAAGCGCAUCCUAGAUCACAAGCACUAAAAAGAAGAGGCCCUUAACAUUCGUGUAAUUAAAGGCAAUGAAGUCAGGGAAGUUGAGAAGGAAUUGCUCUAUAAGAUCGAGGAACUAGAGAA
This is a long non-coding RNA of Zingiber officinale, 663 nucleotides long. RefSeq lists it as uncharacterized. The record is from RefSeq and is a predicted model, not a curated record. NCBI's taxonomy places the organism in Eukaryota, Viridiplantae, Streptophyta, Magnoliopsida, Zingiberales, Zingiberaceae. The transcript has 2 exons.